AGACUGAGAGGAGGAGCCAAUAAAGAGGCUGAGAAAGAGAUGACUGACAGCAAGGACAGGGCAGAUACAGCGGGAGAUUGAGCUGGGCCACCAGUGUGGGUUGGCCUUGAGCUGGUAAGGGACAUUGAGACUUCUAGAGUGAAGGAAAAGAAAGUAAAAACCAAUGAAUAUAGAUAUGUUUACAGAGAAAUUGAGCGAGACCUCCCUGAUGACCUCAAUUUUUCCACUGAUGUAAAGGCAAGGUCAUCUGCUGAGAAUGAAAUCAGCAGUUGUUUGGAGAAAGGACUUGGGAGUGUGGCCCGUGGGCCAGCAGCAGCAGCAUCACCUAAGAGUUUCCUAGAAAUACAGAGUCUCAGGCCCCAGCCCAGACCUGCUGAAUCGACAUGCACAUUUAAACGGAUCCCCAGGUGAUUCUCAGCACCUUAAAGUUUGAGAAGCAUUGUUCUACUUCAUCCCCAAGGGUGGUCAAAUAGUCAACGUUUUCUUGAAACCUUUCAUUGACCGAAGGUCUUUGGAGUCCCUGACCACCUAGGAAAUAUAACUCCUUGGUCUUGGAUUUCUCGGCCUGGUCCUCAGAAAUGGUGCUGGACAAAGCUGUGAAGCCUAACCGAAACUGCUGGAACCUCUAUUUGAAGCUUCCUUACUCCGUCCAGUGGCAGUGGCUCUAACAGUCUCUCUGUGCAUCAUGGUGUGAGAUUCGUGUGCCCAGUAGAUUGACUCACAUACUCAUUACCAAGAGAUGUUGUUUUAUCUGAAAGAGAAAUAAAGAAAAUGACCCCAUUCACAACAGCACCAAAAAUAAUAAAAUACUUAGGAAUAAAUUUAACC
RNAcentral lists this long non-coding RNA (828 nucleotides) under Equus asinus (donkey). RNAcentral's name for it is "lncRNA (ENSEASG00005035818.1)". The record is from RNAcentral. Lineage: Eukaryota; Metazoa; Chordata; Mammalia; Perissodactyla; Equidae.